GCAUGCUGGGCAAGGCUGGCAUCUAGCACAGGCGGUGGAUGCUUGCUCUUGCCAUUGCAAUGA
This is a microRNA precursor of Chlorocebus sabaeus (green monkey), 63 nucleotides long. The record is from Ensembl. Lineage: Eukaryota; Metazoa; Chordata; Mammalia; Primates; Cercopithecidae.